RNAcentral lists this unclassified non-coding RNA (260 nucleotides) under Hevea brasiliensis (rubber tree). The record is from RNAcentral. Lineage: Eukaryota; Viridiplantae; Streptophyta; Magnoliopsida; Malpighiales; Euphorbiaceae.
CUCCGAUCAUCAGUAUCCGAUCCGGCCACCAUGGUCCAAUUCCACGAGCACAUAAUCACAGACCUUCUGGAGGACCCCGCCGGUGGACUUGUAAUCCUUUCCUCCGGUCUUUCCCUUCCCAAACUCGUUUCCUCUCUCCUUCUCCUCCACCACCCCUCCCAAGGCACUCUCCUCAUCCUUUCCCCUUCUCCUUCCCUCAAAUCCCAAAUUCUCCACCACCUCAAAACCCACCACCACUUCUCCCCUGAAAACCACCAAAU